This is a non-coding RNA of Xyrichtys novacula (pearly razorfish), 499 nucleotides long. Lineage: Eukaryota; Metazoa; Chordata; Actinopteri; Labriformes; Labridae. The record is from the annotation of a GenBank genome assembly.
UUUUCUGGACGCCGGAGCAUGGCGGAUAAAUUCAGCACAGAUUAACCCGUGCUGGAAAGGAAGUCGGGCACAGACACAAAAUAAAACAUCCGGCUUCUUUUCAAAAUAAAACACUCGGAGACGAACAAGUGAAAGGUUUUUAGACGUCAUUUCACCCCGAUGACACCAUGGAUGAGGAGAUGCUGAUUCUAGAAGUCUAGAAGUAGAUUUCCUCCUCUGGAAGGACACAAUCUACUGCUUAUAUGUCUAUGUGUCUGUCUUUAGAGAGACGACUCGUUAUCGUGAGAUUGAACGUGAAUCUGCGGGUUCUUGUGAGUUCUUGCGAUUGUCCGUCAUGAGAAGAGUGUCCGGUUUGGUGGAUGCGGCGAAAAUCGCUGCCGUUCCGGAUCAGAGCCGUUCAGGAUCAGUUCUGGACGUGGUGGAAAUUCAGGGUCAGACUUGAGUUAGACCCAAAGAGGAGACCUGGACCCUCUGCUCUCGUCUCUCUGGAGCUCGUCUG